RNAcentral lists this non-coding RNA (954 nucleotides) under Pygocentrus nattereri (red-bellied piranha). RNAcentral describes it as "12S rRNA". It matches the Rfam family "Bacterial small subunit ribosomal RNA". Lineage: Eukaryota; Metazoa; Chordata; Actinopteri; Characiformes; Serrasalmidae. The record is from RNAcentral.
CAAAGGCCUGGUCCUGACUUUACUAUCAGCUUUAGCCCAACUUAUACAUGCAAGUAUCCGCACCCCUGUGAGAAUGCCCUCAAUCCCCCGCCCGGGGACGAGGAGCUGGCAUCAGGCGCAACAUACCCCGCCCAAGACGCCUUGCUUACGCCACACCCCCAAGGGAAUUCAGCAGUAAUAAACAUUAAGCCAUAAGUGAAAACUUGACUUAGCAAGGGCUAAGAGGGUCGGUAAAACUCGUGCCAGCCACCGCGGUUAUACGAGAGACUCCAGUUGAUAGCUACGGCGUAAAGAGUGGUUUGGGGCCCCACCCAAAAUAAAGCCAAAGACCUCCCAAGCCGUCAAACGCACCCCGGAGGCACGAAGUCCUAACGCGAAAGCAACUUUACCUCCCCCGACGCCACGAAAGCUAAGAAACAAACUGGGAUUAGAUACCCCACUAUGCUUAGCCCUAAACUCAGAUGUGAGAACAUACAAAUACAUCCGCCAGGGUACUACAAGCGCUAGCUUAAAACCCAAAGGACUUGACGGUGUCUCAGACCCACCUAGAGGAGCCUGUUCUAGAACCGAUAAUCCCCGUUAAACCUCACCAUCCCUUGUCUUUUCCCGCCUAUAUACCGCCGUCGCAAGCUUACCCUGUGAAGGGUUUACAGUAAGCAAAAUGGGCCAACCCCAGAACGUCAGGUCGAGGUGUAGCUCACGAGAUGGAAAGAAAUGGGCUACAUUUUCUAUUUCAGAAUAUUCACGAACGGUACCAUGAAACCUAGUACCCGAAGGUGGAUUUAGCAGUAAAAAACAAACAGAGCGUGUUUUUGAACCAGGCUCUGAGACGCGCACACACCGCCCGUCACUCUCCCCUUAUCUUUUAUACACAAGUAAAUUAACCAAAUCAACACUUCAGCGGGGAGGCAAGUCGUAACAUGGUAAGUGUACCGGAAGGUGUACUUGGAACAC